UACAGAGACUGCAAGCGUUAUUCGGAUUCACUGGGCGUAAAGGGUGCGCAGGCGGCCAAGUGUGUUAGGCGUGAAAGCCUGGGGCUUAACCCCAGAAUUGCACCUAAAACUACAUGGCUAGAGCAUUGGAGAGGGUAGCGGAAUUCACGGUGUAGCAGUGAAAUGCGUAGAUAUCGUGAGGAACACCAGAGGCGAAGGCGGCUACCUGGACAAUUGCUGACGCUCAGGCGCGAAAGCUAGGGGAGCGAACGGG
This 253-nucleotide ribosomal RNA is filed under the name uncultured bacterium. RNAcentral's name for it is "partial 16S ribosomal RNA". It matches the Rfam family "Bacterial small subunit ribosomal RNA", at positions 524 to 776 of the family's 1533-position model. The record is from RNAcentral.